Long non-coding RNA from Camelus dromedarius (Arabian camel), 1071 nucleotides. RefSeq lists it as uncharacterized. The record is from RefSeq and is a predicted model, not a curated record. Lineage: Eukaryota; Metazoa; Chordata; Mammalia; Artiodactyla; Camelidae. The transcript has 3 exons.
UGAGCUGAAGGCUGAAGGGGACAGAAAGAUGAAAACCCUGACAGUCUGCCUUCAAAGAACCUCCUGACCAGAGAGGAUGUAGAAGAAGGGAGAGGUAGAAGAGCCUCUGACACAGGAAGAAUGCACUGUUAAAACAGACCAGCAGGUCAACUCAGGGUUGACUUCCUCCCACAUCAACCAAAAGCAUUUCUGGCAUCACAUCCUGCCUUCAACACUUUUCUCAGUCCUCAGAGAGAGCUGGGAGCUUUUACCCUGUGCUGUGUGCACUCACCUCCCUUGGGAAGAAGGCAACAUUCCAGCAUAGAGCGAUUCCACGCCCACAGUAAGUCCUGCAGCCUUAACUCCCAGGCAGACACGAUUUCUGUGGAUGGGGCCAGGAGGAUGUGAGAUGAAUGGUGCACCUGCCCCUUUAAACUUGGCCAGAGAGAAACUCUGCUUCCUAGGUGGCAACAGCAAUGCCACCUCCAGCUGCUGGCUCCACUCCGUGGAACAUUCUUGCACAGUCCUGAGCUUCUGAUUCCAUUCAUAGCUAAAGAAAUGGACUUCCCUACCCUGGAUUCCCCCCACUGCACCCCACAACAGGAUCAGCUCUCUGGCUCUUAUAAGACUUAACCAAUUAUAACUGCUCCCAAUGCCUCUGCCACCAGGUGGUCUAAACUGAGGGGUUAACCUGGGCUUAGGAACCUUUCAAGAAGCUAAGCAUAACCGCACAAAAUCUGUGAAACCCUAAAACUGUAUGCAACUAUGUGCGUUUUUCUGACGAGGGGGUUCAUAACUUUAAUAAGAUAUCCUCCCACCAAAGGUUUUAGCCACUUAUCAGGUAGCCAGAGAACUGGACAGAGCUCUGUAUCAACAGUGCAGCCUCCGGUGCUGAGGUAGCCUUAAACCAGGUCACUAUUUAAUUGGCUGUUUGGGAAAGAGGAGAAAUCAUUAUUCUUAAGAAAGUAAGUUUUCAAAAAUAGCUGCUGUGAGAGUUGUAAAAAAAAAAUCAACAGGAGUUAGGAACAGGGAAAAUGAAAAUACAAAUUCUUGUUUUUUUAUAGAGAGUUUUUUAAAAUGUGAUUCAGUAAG